This is a non-coding RNA of Solanum tuberosum (potato), 2326 nucleotides long. The record is from Rfam. NCBI's taxonomy places the organism in Eukaryota, Viridiplantae, Streptophyta, Magnoliopsida, Solanales, Solanaceae.
CGACCCUAGGUCAGGCGAGAUUACCCGUUGAGUUUAAGCAUAUCAAUAAGCAGAGGAACAAACCUUAUAAGGAUUCCCUUAGUAACGGCGAGCGAACCAGGAACAACCCAACCUUAUAAUCGGGAAGCUCCGUCGUCCAAAUUGUAGUAUGGAGAAGCGUCCUCAACGGUGGACCGGGCCCAAGUCCCCUAGAAGGGAGCACCAAAAAGGGUGAGAGCCCCGUUGUGUCCGGACCCUGUCGCACCACGAGGCGCUAUCUAUGAAUUGGGCUGUUUGGGAAUGCAGCGCAAAUCGGGCGGUGAAUUCUGUCAAAGGUUAAAUACGGGCGAGAAACCGAUAACAAACAAGUACCAUGAGGGAAAGAUGCAAAAGGACUUUGAAAAGAGAGUCAAAGAGUGCUUGAAAUUGUCGGGAUGGAAGAAGAUGGGGGUCGACGAUGCGCCCCGGUCAGAUGUGGAACGGUGACGAGCCGAUCCACCGAUCGGCCAAUGGAAGACAACAUCAGUGAAGGCCUACACGUAUCGAACAUGGCCUAUGCUCAUCGGCCAACCGACGCCGGCCAACGACAGGAAGCAUCAUCCAAGGCCUGAUGUGGCAUGUGCGCAUCGGCUGGGCGACAUUGGUCGUGGCCUGCAUGCAUCAACCAGACGUCAUAGGCCAUGGCCUACGCACAUCUGGCAGGUGACAUAGGUCGUGGCAUGCACGCAUCGGCCAAUCGACAUAGGUCGUGGCCUGCGCGCAUCAGCCAGGCCACAUAGGUCAUGGCAUGCGCAUCGGUCAUGUGACAUAGGCCGUGGACUGCCCACAUCGAUCGUGGCCUGUGCACAUCAAUCAACCGACGUCGAUCGUGGCCUACCCGCAUCAUCUGUGCCCUGCUCCAUCGAUCAACCGACAUAGUGUCACGACCCGAGAGCAUCCCCAAGUUGUAACAUGCGUAUUCGUCCUAUCGGAGGUCUCAUACAAGCCCUUAGCAUUCAUCACAUUAGAUAUGUAAAAUAGUGCGGAAUAAAAAAAACUCUUUAAAUAAAAUCCCAUAAGACUCAAAGGUCACUUUUAAAAACAUCAUUCAAAAGUACACAAGCGGAAUACUAAGUCUCUUAGCCAUCUUAGACAUAAACGUGAAAACAUACUAGGGACACGGCCCUUUACAAUCAAAAGAAGUCUAUUAAGUCUAUUACAAGAACCUUAUCAUAAAACUAGAAUAGAAAAGUCUUGUCCUCGACAUAUGAGGACAUACCACAAGAUCUUGGAAGAACUUCAAGUUCCAAGCUUACUAUAGAACCCGUUCACUUUCCGGAACCUACACUUGUAAAAAAAAGGAAGAGAAAUAUGGAAUUAGCGCAAUUAAGUACUAAGUAUGAUGACCAUGCAAAAACAUGCUAAAAAGGACCUUUAUUUGAAAUAUAUGCUUUCAUGCCAUUUUUGAUAAAACCUUCAUAUCACAAUUAUAAGAGACACAUUUCACGUCAUCAUCCACAUAUAAGACAAUACCCACAUAAUAGACAUACUCAACUAGUACCAAUGUACAAUACAUGAACAUAAUCGACAAGUAAGCCUUUUCAUCAUUUCAUGACCUCUAUCUCAAGUUACCCAAAGCCACACUUAUGUGAAACAUGAAGUGACCGCCCAUACAAUCUCUUUAUAUACACCUAAGUGUUCCUAAGGGUUACCAUAGAUAAGGAAUGUACCAUUACAAUAUAACAUACUAAAUCAAAAUUCUUUAAUGAACCACUUUAAGAGACAUUUAAGCAUUUAGGGGACUUCCACUUAAUAGUCAUUUAGACUUAGGGAACUCACUUUAGCAUCUUCUAGGCCUACUCGUGCAAUGUGUAGAUAGCAUCCCAUACUACCACCUACACUUUGUAGAACCUAUCCAAUAACUAGAGUGCACAUCCCACAUGAUGGGAAUAGACAUAACCGACAUAGACCAUACUAGCUAGGCAUGGAAUCCGGAGUCUACCCUACUCCGUGGAAGGUGUUCUACUUGCCAAAGGUAGAACUAAUAAUCAACCCAUGUAGGCACAUGGUUUAGGGGAUGUCCAAGGAAGUUCAUUGUGCCUAAUCUCAUACUCAACUAGGCCACCUUCCUAACCACAUCCACUCGGUGCUAGCCUUGUUUCCCAUAGAGUAUUCAAUCACAUAUGUACUUAGAGAGGGUUCCUUUUCUAGUUCAACCAACUCAUAGUACCUCUUCCCAAGAAAGGCCCCAUUUCUUAGUCAUGGCCAAUCAAGGUUCAUAAGGAUAGCUCAUUUAACUUUCUUAGAUAAGGAUUCCCAUGCUGUUCCGGCUCUAUCCAUCUCUAAGUCUAUCAUUUCACUCAAGAAG